Molecule: long non-coding RNA, 293 nt
Filed under: Mytilus galloprovincialis (Mediterranean mussel)
Lineage: Eukaryota; Metazoa; Mollusca; Bivalvia; Mytilida; Mytilidae
Source: RNAcentral
AGUCGCUAUAAAUUAUGAAAUCACUCGCGGCACGAAACAAGUUCUGAACGGUUUCUGAUGAGGUCGUCUGCUUUACAUUAAAUUAUCAUGAAUUUAUUAUAAUUGUCCUAAUCCUUUUAUCUAUAGUAAUUAAUGAGUUUUAAAUCUCACGAUUCAUUUAAUCUUGGCCUGUGUCAUUUAAAUUCGUUUCGUUUUUAUCUCAGGUGCAAAAUGUUCAACACACUAACAUUCCGCUUGAACGAUCAACAAAGGUGUUAAUUAGCGGUCACCAUAAACAUGUCUUUUUAACUGUU